This is a transfer RNA of Monosiga brevicollis MX1, 81 nucleotides long. It matches the Rfam family "tRNA". Rfam says of the family: Transfer RNA (tRNA) molecules are approximately 80 nucleotides in length. Their secondary structure includes four short double-helical elements and three loops (D, anti-codon, and T loops). Lineage: Eukaryota; Choanoflagellata; Craspedida; Salpingoecidae. The record is from Rfam.
GACACUGUGGCCGAGUGGUUAAGGCGCUAGCUUCAGGUGCUAGUAUGUUCGCAUGCGCGGGUUCGAGUCCCGUCGGUGUCA